AGUGGCGCACGGGUGAGUAACGCGUGGGUAAUCUACCUUCGAAUUGGGGAUAACGUUGCGAAAGCGACGCUAAUACCGAAUAAUAUCCAUUAAUCUUUGGGUUUUUGGAUCAAGGGUGGCCUCUACAUGUAAGCUACUGUUUGAAGAUGAGCCCGCGUACCAUUAGCUUGUUGGCAGGGUAAUGGCCUACCAAGGCAACGAUGGUUAGCUGGUCUGAGAGGAUGAUCAGCCACACUGGAACUGACACACGGUCCAGACUCCUACGGGAGGCAGCAGUGAGGAAUUUUGCGCAAUGGGGGAGACCCUGACGCAGCAACGCCGCGUGAGUGAUGAAGGCUUUCGGGUCGUAAAGCUCUGUCAAGUGGGAAGAACUUAUAUAAUAUUAAUACUAUUGUAUACUGACGGUACCACUGAAGGAAGCACCGGCUAACUCCGUGCCAGCAACCGCGGUAAUACGGGGGGUGCAAGCGUUAUUCGGAAUCAUUGGGCGUAAAGAGCACGUAGGCGGCUUGGUAAGUCAGAUGUGAAAGCCCGGGGCUUAACCCCGGAAGUGCAUUUGAUACUGUCAAGCUUGAGUAUGGGAGAGGGAAGUGGAAUUCCUGGUGUAGAGGUGAAAUUCGUAGAUAUCAGGAGGAACACCGGUGGCGAAGGCGACUUCCUGGACCAAUACUGACGCUGAGGUGCGAAGGCGUGGGUAGCAAACAGGAUUAGAUACCC
This 717-nucleotide ribosomal RNA is filed under the name uncultured bacterium. RNAcentral describes it as "bacterial SSU rRNA". It matches the Rfam family "Bacterial small subunit ribosomal RNA", at positions 94 to 787 of the family's 1533-position model. The record is from RNAcentral.